Long non-coding RNA from Peromyscus eremicus (cactus mouse), 223 nucleotides. RefSeq lists it as uncharacterized. The record is from RefSeq and is a predicted model, not a curated record. Lineage: Eukaryota; Metazoa; Chordata; Mammalia; Rodentia; Cricetidae. The transcript has 2 exons.
CUUAGCCAAAGAAACAUUCUGGCCACACUAUGGCCAUGCAGUUUUUUAUUUACAUCCUUUUCUUGUCCAUUUGGACAAUCAAUUGUCUAAAUAGAAAUCUAAUUAAUAACUCAUCUACCAACACUACUAUAGAAGACAGCAGUCCUUCGGCACAAUCAAAACUGAACAACUUGAAGAAGUACCUAUCUGAUAUCAUAAGUAUAGUUUUGGUUGGAGCACCGAA